RNAcentral lists this ribosomal RNA (460 nucleotides) under uncultured bacterium. RNAcentral's name for it is "partial 16S ribosomal RNA". It matches the Rfam family "Bacterial small subunit ribosomal RNA", at positions 338 to 795 of the family's 1533-position model. The record is from RNAcentral.
CCUACGGGUGGCAGCAGUGAGGAAUAUUGGUCAAUGGACGAGAGUCUGAACCAGCCAAGUAGCGUGAAGGAUGACUGCCCUAUGGGUUGUAAACUUCUUUUAUAUGGGAAUAAAACGUUCCACGUGUGGGAUUUUGUAUGUACCAUAUGAAUAAGGAUCGGCUAACUCCGUGCCAGCAGCCGCGGUAAUACGGAGGAUCCGAGCGUUAUCCGGAUUUAUUGGGUUUAAAGGGAGCGUAGGUGGAUUGUUAAGUCAGUUGUGAAAGUUUGCGGCUCAACCGUAAAAUUGCAGUUGAUACUGGCAGUCUUGAGUACAGUAGAGGUGGGCGGAAUUCGUGGUGUAGCGGUGAAAUGCUUAGAUAUCACGAAGAACUCCGAUUGCGAAGGCAGUUCACUAGACUGCAACUGACACUGAGGCUCGAAAGUGUGGGUAUCAAACAGGAUUAGAUACCCGUGUAGUC